Molecule: ribosomal RNA, 507 nt
Filed under: uncultured bacterium
Lineage: Bacteria
Description: bacterial SSU rRNA
Rfam family: Bacterial small subunit ribosomal RNA
Source: RNAcentral
AGUUUGAUCAUGGCUCAGAUUGAACGCUGGCGGCAUGCUUUACACAUGCAAGUACGAACGGCAGCGGCGGGGGCAACCCUGGCGGCGAGUGGCGAACGGGUGAGUAAUGCAUCGGAACGUAUCCUGUAAUGGGGGAUAACGUAGCGAAAAGUUACGCUAAUACCGCAUACGCUCGAGAGAGGAAAGUGGGGGAUCGCAAGACCUCACGUUAUAGGAGCGGCCGAUGUCCGAUUAGCUAGUUGGUGGGGUAAAAGGCCUACCAAGGCGACGAUCGGUAGCUGGUCUGAGAGGAUGAUCAGCCACACUGGGACUGAGACACGGCCCAGACUCCUACGGGAGGCAGCAGUGGGGAAUUUUGGACAAUGGGCGAAAGCCUGAUCCAGCCAUGCCGCGUGCGGGAAGAAGGCCUUCGGGUUGUAAACCGCUUUAGUCCGGGAAAAAGGGGUGCGAGGAUAAUACCCUCGUGCUUUGAUGGUACUGGAAGAAUAAGCACCGGCUAACUACGUG